UAUCCACACAACAGAUUCAGUAAUGACAGCAGCAGUGCAUGCUUCCCCAUACGGUCCUCCCCGUGUGUGCCUUGGCCCUGAUCGGGAAGGGCCACUGCCAGAGGCA
RNAcentral lists this small RNA (106 nucleotides) under Chrysemys picta bellii (western painted turtle). Its description in RNAcentral is "TUC338 (ENSCPBG00000016951.1)". Lineage: Eukaryota; Metazoa; Chordata; Testudines; Emydidae. The record is from RNAcentral.